Molecule: non-coding RNA, 101 nt
Filed under: Yersinia massiliensis
Lineage: Bacteria; Pseudomonadati; Pseudomonadota; Gammaproteobacteria; Enterobacterales; Yersiniaceae
Description: Yersinia sRNA 224
Rfam family: Yersinia sRNA 224
Source: RNAcentral
GCUGACAAAGUGCCUGCUACGGUGAGAACAGGCAGAUCGUAAAGACACUGUAAAAUCAUCCCUGAUGGCUCGAACCGCGCCAUCCCUGGCGCGGACGCUUU